GAGGCAGCAGUGGGGAAUAUUGGACAAUGGGGGAAACCCUGAUCCAGCAAUGCCGCGUGGGUGAAGAAGGCUCGCGGGUUGUAAAGCCCUUUCAGUAGUGAAGAAAAGCUGACGGUUAAUACCCGUUAGUCUUGACAUUAGCUACAGAAGAAGCACCGGCUAACUCUGUGCCAGCAGCCGCGGUAAUACAGAGGGUGCGAGCGUUAAUCGGAAUUACUGGGCGUAAAGCGCGCGUAGGUGGUUUGUUAAGUCGGAUGUGAAAGCCCCGGGCUCAACCUGGGAAUUGCAUUCGAUACUGGCAGGCUAGAGUAUGGUAGAGGGAAGUGGAAUUCCAGGUGUAGCGGUGAAAUGCGUAGAUAUCUGGAGGAACAUCAGUGGCGAAGGCGACUUCCUGGACCAAUACUGACACUGAGGUGCGAAAGCGUGGGUAGCGAACAGGAUUAGAUACCCUGGUAGUCCAUUCAGUGAACGUUGAGAAGUAGGUGUUGGGAAGUUUAAGUUGUUAGUAUCGUAGCUAACGCGUUAAGUUCUCCGCGUGGGGAGUACGGCCGCAAGGUUAAAACUCAAAGG
Molecule: ribosomal RNA, 570 nt
Filed under: uncultured bacterium
Lineage: Bacteria
Description: bacterial SSU rRNA
Rfam family: Bacterial small subunit ribosomal RNA
Source: RNAcentral